GUGCCAGCCGCUGCGGUAAUACGUAGGGUGCAAGCGUUGUCCGGAAUUAUUGGGCGUAAAGAGCUCGUAGGCGGUUUGUCGCGUCUGCUGUGAAAACUCGGGGCUCAACUCCGAGCUUGCAGUGGGUACGGGCAGACUAGAGUGCGGUAGGGGAGACUGGAAUUCCUGGUGUAGCGGUGGAAUGCGCAGAUAUCAGGAGGAACACCGGUGGCGAAGGCGGGUCUCUGGGCCGUAACUGACGCUGAGGAGCGAAAGCAUGGGGAGCGAACAGGAUUAGAUACCCUGGUAGUCCAUGCCGUAAACGUUGGGCGCUAGGUGUGGGGGCUCUUUCCACGAGUUCUGUGCCGCAGCUAACGCAUUAAGCGCCCCGCCUGGGGAGUACGGCCGCAAGGCUAAAACUCAAAGGAAUUGACGGGGCCCGCACAAGCGGCGGAGCAUGCGGAUUAAUUCGAUGCAACG
Molecule: ribosomal RNA, 459 nt
Filed under: uncultured Kineococcus sp.
Lineage: Bacteria; Bacillati; Actinomycetota; Actinomycetes; Kineosporiales; Kineosporiaceae
Description: bacterial SSU rRNA
Rfam family: Bacterial small subunit ribosomal RNA
Source: RNAcentral